Molecule: long non-coding RNA, 262 nt
Organism: Pistacia vera
Lineage: Eukaryota; Viridiplantae; Streptophyta; Magnoliopsida; Sapindales; Anacardiaceae
Exons: 3
Source: RefSeq, a predicted model, not a curated record
UUCUUUGACUUACUAUAAAUUUCUCUCCUCUCUUUCUCUCUCUCUAUUUCCUUCUUUUCUUAACCCUUCCAUUCAAUCAGAGGCUCUUUUUCAUCCUAACACAGAGCUUGCAAUUUUUUUUUAACUAUGGAACGACCAAGUGCAUCCCAGAGGGUGAAAAAAAGAGCAUUGGAGGAUGAUGAUGGUAUUGUAGGGAGGAAAUAUAAAUUUAAAGUUCAAGCCAAAUAGGAUGGGUCCAGUGAGAUUUCCAACACUUUUGAGG